This 77-nucleotide transfer RNA is filed under the name bacterium. RNAcentral describes it as "tRNA-Val". It matches the Rfam family "tRNA". From Rfam's summary of the family: Transfer RNA (tRNA) molecules are approximately 80 nucleotides in length. Their secondary structure includes four short double-helical elements and three loops (D, anti-codon, and T loops). RNAcentral also lists the same sequence under 1 other name. The record is from RNAcentral.
GGGUGAUUAGCUCAGUUGGCUAGAGCAUCUCGUUUACACCGAGGAGGUCUGGGGUUCGAGUCCCUAAUCACCCACCA